GCUGCAGCUGGGCCAGCUGGUCGAGGCUCAGGGCGGUAUCGACGCCCGGCAUGGUGACGACUUUGCGGGUCGGCUCGAUCUUCGCCAGGCGCACCGGCU
This 99-nucleotide transfer RNA is filed under the name Massilia sp. Bi118. Its description in RNAcentral is "tRNA-Asp". The record is from RNAcentral. Lineage: Bacteria; Pseudomonadati; Pseudomonadota; Betaproteobacteria; Burkholderiales; Oxalobacteraceae.